ACGCUCGACACCUACGGGGGCAGCAGUGGGGAAUAUUGCACAAUGGGGGAAACCCUGAUGCAGCGACGCCGCGUGAGCGAAGAAGUAUUUCGGUAUGUAAAGCUCUAUCAGCAGGGAAGAAAAUGACGGUACCUGACUAAGAAGCCCCGGCUAACUACGCGCCAGCAGCCGCGGUAAUCUGAGCGGGCUGGCAAGGC
This 197-nucleotide ribosomal RNA is filed under the name uncultured bacterium. RNAcentral describes it as "partial 16S ribosomal RNA". It matches the Rfam family "Bacterial small subunit ribosomal RNA", at positions 328 to 539 of the family's 1533-position model. The record is from RNAcentral.